RNAcentral lists this transfer RNA (70 nucleotides) under Hypoatherina tsurugae (cobaltcap silverside). Its description in RNAcentral is "tRNA-Pro". It matches the Rfam family "tRNA". From Rfam's summary of the family: Transfer RNA (tRNA) molecules are approximately 80 nucleotides in length. Their secondary structure includes four short double-helical elements and three loops (D, anti-codon, and T loops). Lineage: Eukaryota; Metazoa; Chordata; Actinopteri; Atheriniformes; Atherinidae. The record is from RNAcentral.
CAAAGAAUAGUUUAGAUCAGAAUCCUAGCUUUGGGAGUUAGGGGUGAGGGUUAAAAUCCCUUUUCUUUGA